AUGGCAGAAUCUGCAGUUUCUGCUGUGGUGGGAAGAAUUGGUAAUCUGGUCGUCAGGGAGUCAUCGCUACUUUGUUCAGUCACCGGUGAAGUGGAGUUCUUGAAGGAGGAGCUAGAGAGGCUGCAGGGCUUUCUGAAAGACGCCGACAAGAAGAUGAGGUCUGGCAACGCGAGCAUGGCUGUCUGCGUCAGGCAGCUCAGAGAUGCAUCAUAUGAAGCCGAGAACAUUAUUGAAGCUGCAGAGUACGUGAAGAUGCGAAGCAGGCUGAAGAAGGGUUUUAUGGGUGCCAUCUCAAGGUAUGCUCGUUUGCCGAGAAAGUUUGUUGCCCUUCAUAAGGUUGAUGUUCAAAUUCCUGGUGUAAGGCGUAAAAUCAGUGCAAUUGAGAAUAGCAUGUUUAAUUUAAAUAUUGCCAACCUCAGCAUCGAUGAGUCAGAGGAUAUUGAGGAUAAUGUGCUUAUCCCGCAGAAUUUUGUAGAUGAUGUUGUUGUUGGUUUUGAGGAUGAGUGCAAAGAAAUAGUGGAAAAGCUAGUUGACCAAAAGAAUGAAAAACUUAGUGUUGUCUCAUUGGUAGCCAUGGGUGGAGCAGGAAAGACUACACUCGCUAGAAAAGUGUACAAUUCACCUAGAGUUAAAGAAUACUUUAAUGAAUUUGCUUGGGUGACUGUAUCCCAAAAGUUCAAGGGCAUUGAUCUACUAAAUGAUAUUCUGAAACAAAUAACGGGGGCCAGUUAUGAAUUAAGCAAGGCAACUGAUCAAAUCCAGGAGAAUGAGAUCGGGAAGAAGAUCCAUGACUUUCUAUUACAAAGAAGAUACUUGUUGGUUCUUGAUGAUGUGUGGGAGGCAGACACUUGGGAGCAAAUAAAUAGAGCAGCUAAAGUCUUUCCAGAUACAAAUAAUGGCAGUAGAGUACUGUUAACCACACGGAAAAAAGAUGUUGCGCAUCAUAUUGAAAUGCCAACUUAUGUUUGUGAUGUAAAGCUCAUGGAUGAAGAGAAAUCUUGGGAGCUUUUUAAAAGCAAAGCUUUACCAUCAUACAGAACGUACAUGAUAUGUAAUCCUGAUAAGUUUGAAGAAAUAGGGAGAAAACUUGCAAGGAAGUGUGCUGGCCUGCCACUUGCACUUGCAGUUCUUGGGGGGUAUCUAUCGAAGAAUCUAAAUGUAGAGGCAUGGUCAGAUUUACUUUUGGGUUGGACAUCCAUAGAAGAAGUAGAGGUGGUUGGACACAUACUAGCUCGGAGUUAUAAUGACUUGUCAAAUAAGAGGCGCAAGUCAUGUUUCCUCUAUGUUGCUUCCUUCCCGGAGGAUUAUCCUAUAACUGUGGCAGAUCUGAUUGAACUUUGGAUAGCUGAAUGCUUCAUUCCACAUAUAGCAAGGCAUACAAUGGAAGAAAUGGCACAGAGGUAUGUUACCGAUUUGGCUCAAAGAAACUUGGUGCAAUUUGAGUUUGGAGUAGCAGCCAAUUGUAUGUCAAUCCAAACAAUAAGGAUUCAUGAUGUUCUACGUGAUUGGUGUAUAGAAGAAGCAAGAAGAGAUGGUUUUCUCCAUAUCAUUGAUAAAACUACAGGCCAAGCUGGUGCAUCAUCUUCUGAUACCAUGACGUCCUAUCGUUCUUGUUUUCAUAAUUUCUAUGAUGAUCGGAUUCUCCAGUCAACACCUAAUCUCCGAACAUGGAUUGGUUUUGGACUUUCAGAAGUGUUCCUUCCGAAGCUAAGGUUCCUGAGAGUUCUUUACAUAGAAAAUUCAAGCCUCAAGAAUUUGAUGUUAAUUCCUGGGUGCAUUCACCUAAGAUACCUUAGGUUGAGAAAUUGUCACACUGUUACACUUCCUUCUUCUAUUGGACAACUCCUUUACUUGCAAACUUUAGAUCUGAGGGGCACAUCUCUUGGCAGAAGUUUACCAAUCACCGCAUGGGCUAUCCCUACCCUAAGGCACCUUUACCUUGAUUCUGGAUCUUGUGGAAUCAUUAAACAAGACCCGAUGCCACUCCUAGAGAAGCUUCCAUGUCUUGUGGUGUUGCAUCUAUGGAAUUAUGGGGGCCCGACUAUGCACUGCUCUGCCCAAGGAUUCCCUCAGCUGCAAAAUCUGGAACUUCAUUUCUUUAGUACCGAGUGGACGAUAGAGGUGGGGGCAAUGCCAAGGCUCUCCAACCUGAACCUUCUGAGUUGCGGGAUGCACAAGCUCCCCCAGGAUCUGCUGAACCUGCAAUGCUUGAAGAAGUUGGAAACUAACCGCUGGCGGCUUAAAUUUGACAACACAUGGAAAGAACUGAAAAAGAAGGGAUGCAAGAUGUGCGUUUUGGUGGAUGCCUCUUAG
Molecule: ribosomal RNA, 2313 nt
Filed under: Triticum aestivum (bread wheat)
Lineage: Eukaryota; Viridiplantae; Streptophyta; Magnoliopsida; Poales; Poaceae
Description: partial small subunit ribosomal RNA
Source: RNAcentral